This 497-nucleotide ribosomal RNA is filed under the name uncultured bacterium. RNAcentral describes it as "partial 16S ribosomal RNA". It matches the Rfam family "Bacterial small subunit ribosomal RNA", at positions 28 to 507 of the family's 1533-position model. The record is from RNAcentral.
GAUGAACGCUGGCGGCGUGCCUAAUACAUGCAAGUCGAGCGAACAGACGAGGAGCUUGCUCCUCUGACGUUAGCGGCGGACGGGUGAGUAACACGUGGAUAACCUACCUAUAAGACUGGGAUAACUUCGGGAAACCGGAGCUAAUACCGGAUAAUAUAUUGAACCGCAUGGUUCAAUAGUGAAAGACGGUUUUGCUGUCACUUAUAGAUGGAUCCGCGCCGCAUUAGCUAGUUGGUAAGGUAACGGCUUACCAAGGCAACGAUGCGUAGCCGACCUGAGAGGGUGAUCGGCCACACUGGAACUGAGCCAGGGUCCAGACUCCUCGGGGAGGCAGCAGUAGGGAAUCUUCCGCAAUGGGCGAAAGCCUGAGGGAGCAACGCCGCGUGAGUGAUAAAGGUCUUCGGAUCGUAAAACUCUGUUAUUAGGGAAAAACAAAUGUGUAAGUAACUAUGCACGUCUUGACGGUACCUAAUCAGAAAGCCACGGCUAACUACGUC